UACACUGGUGGCCUAGUGGUUACAGCGUCUGUCUCAGAUGCAGGAGGUCAUGGGUUCGAACCCCUGCCAUGUCA
Potamilus streckersoni is the source of this 74-nucleotide non-coding RNA. The record is from the annotation of a GenBank genome assembly. NCBI's taxonomy places the organism in Eukaryota, Metazoa, Mollusca, Bivalvia, Unionida, Unionidae.